RNAcentral lists this transfer RNA (72 nucleotides) under Camelus bactrianus (Bactrian camel). It matches the Rfam family "tRNA". Rfam says of the family: Transfer RNA (tRNA) molecules are approximately 80 nucleotides in length. Their secondary structure includes four short double-helical elements and three loops (D, anti-codon, and T loops). RNAcentral also lists the same sequence under 2 other names. The record is from Rfam by way of RNAcentral. Lineage: Eukaryota; Metazoa; Chordata; Mammalia; Artiodactyla; Camelidae.
GAGGGUAUAGCUCAGUGGUGGAGUGCGUGCUUAGCAUGCACACGGUCCUGGGUUCAAUCCACAAUACCUCUA